Long non-coding RNA from Xenia sp. Carnegie-2017, 537 nucleotides. RefSeq lists it as uncharacterized. The transcript is spliced from 2 exons. Lineage: Eukaryota; Metazoa; Cnidaria; Anthozoa; Malacalcyonacea; Xeniidae. The record is from RefSeq and is a predicted model, not a curated record.
CAAAGCUUUGAUUUUUUUGAUGAGAAGGAAAAAGAUGGGACGGCUCCCAAGAAUUGUCCAAAUUCUUGUCAAUCUGGUUCAAGUCUUGGGAGCCACAAUGGACAUUGACAUCAUCCUCCUGGCUGCCUUGCUUCUGAACCUUAAGCCACUUCACUUUGAUGUCGAGGUAUUCUCGACUUGAUCUUGAAGUUGAGAAGACACUUUACUGUGACCUUCAAAUUGAAAGAACAAACAAUUAAAAAAUUGAACUACUCUGAAAUAAAUAACAUAAUAGCUAAAAUAUUAUCAAAAGGCACAGUUUGGAAUAAGGUUUAAUGAGUUUAAAGUACGUUCAAUAAAAUCAAUCAUCUUCAGCUAGACGCCCUUAAUUAAGCCCUUAUAAAAUAGACACAUAACAGAUGCUAUUAUUCCUUAACACACAAGUUUAACUCUUGGCUUGUAUUGAACGCGCUUUACAACUGUACUCACAUCAACCAUGAAAGUUCAAAGGAAUAUGGUCUUCAAAGAGCAAAAUAAAGCUUUGAAAUGACUUCAAAA